This 434-nucleotide ribosomal RNA is filed under the name uncultured Lachnospiraceae bacterium. RNAcentral describes it as "partial 16S ribosomal RNA". It matches the Rfam family "Bacterial small subunit ribosomal RNA", at positions 341 to 792 of the family's 1533-position model. The record is from RNAcentral. Lineage: Bacteria; Bacillati; Bacillota; Clostridia; Lachnospirales; Lachnospiraceae.
ACGGGAGGCAGCAGUGGGGAAUAUUGGACAAUGGGGGAAGCCCUGAUCCAGCGACGCAGCGUGAGUGAAGAAGUAUUUCGGUAUGUAAAGAUCUAUCAGCAAGGAAGAAAAUGACGGUAAUUGACUAAGAAGCUCCGGCUAAAUACGUGCCAGCAGCCGCGGUAAUACGUAUGGAGCAAGCGUUAUCCGGAUUUACUGGGUGUAAAGGGAGCGUAGAGGGCCUAGCAAGUAUGAAGUGAAAGCCCGGGGCUCACCCCCGUAACUGCUUUGGAAACUGUUAAGCUAGAGUACAGGAGAGGUAAGCGGACUUCCUAGUGUAGCUGUGAAAUGCGUAGAUAUUAGGAGGAACACCAGUGGCGAAGGCGGCUUACUGGACUGUAACUGACGUUGAGGCUCGAAAGCGUGGGGAGCAAACAGGAUUAGAUACCCUGGUA